GAUGAACGCUGGCGGCGUGCUUAACACAUGCAAGUCGAACGAGAAGUGAAGACGGAAACCUUCGGGCGGAAGGCUUUAUUUCGAGUGGCGGACGGGUGAGUAACGCGUGGGUAACCUGCCUCAUACAGGGGGAUAACAGUUGGAAACGACUGUUAAUACCGCAUAAGACCACAGCACCGCAUGGUGCGGGGGUAAAAACUCCGGUGGUAUGAGAUGGACCCGCGUUCGAUUAGCCAGUUGGCGGGGUAACGGCCCACCAAAGCGACGAUCGAUAGCCGAUCUGAGAGGAUGACCGGCCACAGUGGGACUGAGACACGGCCCAAACUCCUACGGGAGGCAGCAGUGGGGAAUAUUGCACAAUGGGGGAAGCCCUGAUGCAGCGACGCCGCGUGAGUGAAGAAGUAUUUCGGUAUGUAAAGCUCUAUCAGCAGGGAAGAAAAUGACGGUACCUGAGUAAGAAGCCCCGGCUAACUACGUG
Molecule: ribosomal RNA, 478 nt
Filed under: uncultured bacterium
Lineage: Bacteria
Description: partial 16S ribosomal RNA
Rfam family: Bacterial small subunit ribosomal RNA
Source: RNAcentral